RNAcentral lists this long non-coding RNA (2766 nucleotides) under Gossypium barbadense (sea-island cotton). RNAcentral's name for it is "long non-coding RNA (GBAR_LNC005079)". Lineage: Eukaryota; Viridiplantae; Streptophyta; Magnoliopsida; Malvales; Malvaceae. The record is from RNAcentral.
GAAAAAUAAAGUUGUGGGUCGACUGAUUUAAAUCCUUAAAACCCACCAUAAAUCGGCAACGAUCAACGAUCUACCGGAGACGACUCUCGAGCAUCCAGCGACAGUUCCUCAUGGUCACGGUUGUAGUGGUAGAAACACCGUUGAGCAAGAUGCCCAAACCAUCCGUAAAUUUGGUACUGAACUCUAGAUCGGAACCCACGCCCACAGCCUCCAGAUGGGGGACGAGCACCACGAAUAGAGCCCCUAUGAUCGGUGAUGGAACAGUCUCCAAGAGAUUAACAUGAAAAGGUAUCUCUGGAGCCACACGCGCCUAAUGAUUCUCGUACUCAAGAAGCACUUCAACAAGUUAUUGAAAUUGAAAAGGUUCCGACGAGAACGAGGCGAGCGUAAUGACAGAAUCAAAAUUAGAGGGUAAGCCUACAAGCAGAGUCUCGACCUUCUCUUCUUCGGAGAUGCGCAAACCAGAGGCAGCUAUCAAAGCACUCAUAUUCUGAAUCUUGGCCACAAAUUCUUUGAUUGAAAGGCUGCCUUUCUUGAGGGAAAGCAAAUCGUGUCGAAUAUGAGCAAGCUUCGCAUCGGUGAGAGGAGCAAAAAGACGAGUUGUGGUAGUCCACAUAUCACAAGCAGAUCGAGCUUCCAUAAAAGAAGACAAAAUGGAAGGAUUAAUUGUGGAAAGGAGCCAUGAAGCUAAUAAUCGAUCUUGUUGCACAAAAGCUAAAGCAUCUGGAUUCGAAAUGAGUGAGCCUCUAGAGACUGCACAAACCGCGAUAGACUAGCCAAAGUGCCAUCGAGAAAACCGAUCAGUUUAUAACCCUCGACAAUCAUCCUAACGUGUUGCUGCCACUGAACAAACGUGCCUUCAUCGAGCUUGAUCAUCUCAUACCAUAGAAAAGACUGGACUAGCCGAGUACCAGUAAAUGCUAAAUAGCCAGGAUCAACGACGGACGAAUCAAUAGAAGCAGUGGUGGUCAUUGAGGUAGGUCCCAAAACACUUCUAGGCGACUGAUACCAUGUAAGCUACUAUGGUAAAUAUAAACAGAAUAAAAUAAUGUAUUCUGUAUUUAGACUUCUUAACUUGUGAAAUACAUUGAGGAGACUUGAAUUUAUAGAAUAAUGUAGUAACUGCUCAACCUAGCUGAUUAAGUAACAAACUAAUAGCUCAUAAAACUAACUCGUAAAACUGACUAACAACCAGGCUUAGCUAAGGUAUACUUGUAUUCUUAACACUUCAUGACUAAAUAAUGUUGCAAUCAAUAGAUAAAAGAUCAAAACUUAAUUACAGAUUAUUUGAGUCCUAAUUAUAUAUGUUCAAUCUGUCCUUCAGCUAGUUCAGUAUAACCUAAUGGUUUGCAUUUAAAUCAAUGAGAUGAAAAUAAAUGAGAAAAACAAAUUAGAGAAAUGGAUUGUAUGUAUCAAUAUUAGUAGUGAAUGUGUUUCCCAGCUAUGAGCCAAAAGAUGACUUAGAGAUUAAAUUAAUUUCUUUGAAUUAUUAUUUAUUAUUUAAUUGAAUGCAAUUAAAUAAUUAAAUUUUAAAGUGAAAAUUAAAUUAAUUAGUUAUAGCAAUUUUAUUGAAGAAGUUAAUUAAAUUUAUUUAGCCAUAAAUUCUAGUAUGGUAAAGGUGUCAUGACUUAACUAUGAGGUUUGUAUGGUGUCAUCAGUGGAUACCUUGGUUACGACCCCUAAAAAAAUUGUCAUAACUUCAAUAGAGUUAGAAUUGGGUUGAGAAAAUAAUUGAAUUAGAAAAUAAAUUAAAUUUAUUUAUUUACACAAAUAAUAUGUUGGGAAUAGAAAUUUGUUUAUUGAGUUGAUUAAAUUAUUGAGUUGGUUUAAAAACUAAAUAAUACAUAUAAUUAUACCUAAUACACAUGACAAGCCCAAAAUCCCAUAUUGUAACAUGAUGAGUGGCAACCCUAGAUCCCAUAGAUGGAACAAGGGUGUCGCCACUUAUAGCCUUUCUCAGUAGGGGUAGGUGUAUUUUUCUAUUAAAAUAAAUUUUUUUAUUCAACUAGUAUUUUUGUGAUUUCCUCUUUAAAUAGAGACCAUGGCAAUGUCAAAAGACAAACCACAUUAAGCUUUGACACUUUAUCAAAAUUUAGUGAGAUUUAUUCCUCUAAAUAAAUUCUAAAUCUUCAGAGAGUGCCUUUUAGUUUCUAGUGCUUGAGAGAGAUUGAUGUUUCCACUUAGCAUCAAUAAAGUUUUCAUUGUGUUCAUCGGUUCGUGAUUAAAGCCUACAUUAUAAGCAAGCAUAGGUGCGAGAAUAGUGGAAAAGAUCACUUUGGUCGAAAGCUGGGAACUUUCUUUACCACUUGUUCCAAAACAUAAGUAUAAAUUUAAUAAAGAGUUUAUUGCUAUAAAUAAUAUAAUAGUUCGGUUUUAGAAAAAUUAAUUAUUUUUUUGUCAUGCAACAAAAUUAUUUUCUAAACUGAAUUUUUUCAACAUAAAAUAUCAUUGAAUAAUAUAAUUUAUUUUAAUUAUGAAAAAAUAACUUUUUAAUUUUUCAAAUCAAGAUAAUGGCUGGUUAACUCGUGAUAUUUACUUAAUUAAAUAUUUAAAUAAUAGAAUGGAUAUUUAAGUUUUAAAGUUAGAGAAGAUAUAUGAGCAAUGAGCAUUCAGAUGCAGGCCCAAAAUGAACAUAAUAUAUAUACAGGCCCAGCAAACAUACAAGUCAAAGAGCAUCGGAAGUGGAUAGAGAUGAAUUUCUGGAAUUCAAUUUGAGGGUGGAGGACACGUGGCAGAAGGACCACCUCCCAUGUUUCUAGAAUUGAA